AGCCAGCAAAAAGAGCCAGACCCCAACUCUCAAGCACCCUAGCCAGCACACUGGACCCCAGGAAAGGUACCAGCAAAGGUCCCCAGGCCUCCACUGAUGUCUGUGCCCACAUUGUUUGGUAAGCAGUCAUCAGUCAUUGCUCUUGAGAUGUGAAGAGCGCUGUGGGGUCUCUUCAUCCAUUCUAUGGAGUUUGGCAACAACCCUUAAACCUGCAGGGGGGAUGCAAGCAUGAAAAGUCCAACAAAACAUCGAAUAGAAGCAUGAUGCAUGUCCAUGGGUUGGAGGAAACAGUGGCUGCUCUGUUUCUUUGGUGAAUGAAAGCAUAUUUUAAGCUCAGACGUAAAGAAAAAUGAAACAAAAGAAAAAACACCACAUUAUAAAGAUGGCGAAGAAUAUAUAAUCUUAUUUAAUAAAGACAUAAGAUCAUUAUUUUCA
Pelobates fuscus (common spadefoot toad) is the source of this 435-nucleotide long non-coding RNA. RefSeq lists it as uncharacterized. The record is from RefSeq and is a predicted model, not a curated record. The transcript is spliced from 2 exons. NCBI's taxonomy places the organism in Eukaryota, Metazoa, Chordata, Amphibia, Anura, Pelobatidae.